This 555-nucleotide ribosomal RNA is filed under the name Escherichia coli. Its description in RNAcentral is "partial 23S ribosomal RNA". It matches the Rfam family "Bacterial large subunit ribosomal RNA", at positions 1 to 586 of the family's 2925-position model. Lineage: Bacteria; Pseudomonadati; Pseudomonadota; Gammaproteobacteria; Enterobacterales; Enterobacteriaceae. The record is from RNAcentral.
GGGUUGUGAGGUUAAGCGACUAAGCGUACACGGUGGAUGCCCUGGCAGUCAGAGGCGAUGAAGGACGUGCUAAUCUGCGAUAAGCGUCGGUAAGGUGAUAUGAACCGUUAUAACCGGCGAUUUCCGAAUGGGGAAACCCAGUGUGAUUCGUCACACUAUCAUUAACUGAAUCCAUAGGUUAAUGAGGCGAACCGGGGGAACUGAAACAUCUAAGUACCCCGAGGAAAAGAAAUCAACCGAGAUUCCCCCAGUAGCGGCGAGCGAACGGGGAGCAGCCCAGAGCCUGAAUCAGUGUGUGUGUUAGUGGAAGCGUCUGGAAAGGCGCGCGAUACAGGGUGACAGCCCCGUACACAAAAAUGCACAUACUGUGAGCUCGAUGAGUAGGGCGGGACACGUGGUAUCCUGUCUGAAUAUGGGGGGACCAUCCUCCAAGGCUAAAUACUCCUGACUGACCGAUAGUGAACCAGUACCGUGAGGGAAAGGCGAAAAGAACCCCGGCGAGGGGAGUGAAAAAGAACCUGAAACCGUGUACGUACAAGCAGUGGGAGCACGCUU